Long non-coding RNA from Solanum lycopersicum (tomato), 789 nucleotides. RefSeq lists it as uncharacterized. The record is from RefSeq and is a predicted model, not a curated record. Lineage: Eukaryota; Viridiplantae; Streptophyta; Magnoliopsida; Solanales; Solanaceae.
UGGUGUGGUGGAACGUAAUAAUAGACAUGUUGUUGAAAUUGUCUUAUCCCUUCAUGAUAAUUCAAAAGUUUCGAAAAUAUUUUGGGUUGAAGCAAUCCAAACAUCUAUUUAAAUCAUAAAUAGACAAUCAUCCUCGAUCAUGAAACAAAAUUGUCCUUAUUUUGUUCUUUUCAAAAAAAAUUUUUGACUUUUACAUCUUAAUGUAUUUGGUUGUGUGUUUUGUCCUUGUUCAAGGUCAUGAACGUCAUAAAUUAUCUUCAAAAGCCGUUAAAUGUGUUUUCUUAUGAUACAAUGAUAUUCAAAAGGGGUAUUUGUGUUAUGAUUCAACAUGUCGUUCAUUAUCAAUCUCACGGUAUGUAAUCUUCUUUGAGAAUUCUUCAAUUUAUACCAACAAAGACUCACAAAUCUCUACUAUGUCUUUCCUGAAUAAACUUUCUUCUCAUAAUGCUGCUUGUCAUAGCUAUCUUCGUGCUGGUCCUUCGUCGACCAUGUCAUCUACCAUCUCAGAUUGCGAGCCUGGAUUUCUGUGGUACUUAUCAUUCUCUUCUUUUUCAAUGCUUCUUGGAGAUUUGUAAGGUAGUUGUUUGUCGUCUCAAUGGACUUUCUCUCUCCUUAGUUAUGAUCUUGUUCUAUUCUAGAAACAAGUUCAUUUGAGAUUAGUGUUUGCUUUGAUUCAAUUGUAAUACUUUAGAGACUUGUACACGUGACAACCACGUUGUGGGGUAUUUUUAAGUUGAUUGUAAAAUUUCCACAUUUUUGGGUCGUGACAUGUGAUAAUGAUUUUGGGGU